UCUUUCCGAUAUCAAUCGGUUGUUCAUAAUUUGUUGUCCAACUCCCGUACAAGAUUUAUCCUAUGUAGAAUUUCUUAGGAACACACAAAGAUACAAACCAUUCUGUUUGAAUAGAUGAACAUAGACAUUCAGUAACUAAUUAAAUAGAUCCAUAAUUUCGCAGGAACCAGAGGAGGGAGAUAGACUCAGCAUGCUGACGGAUGACAUUUUACUGUCCAUCAUGGGGAGAGUCGAUCUAAGCACAGCUGCAAGGACGAGUGCGUUGUCUACACGGUGGAGGCGCCUUCCUUGGUUGCUGCCCGAGCUCAACGUUGAUGCCAAAAAUUUCCUGCCAAUUCAACACCCUAACGGCAUCGAAGGGAACGAUAUGGAGGAAGCUAUGGCAUCUCUAACCGAGGCAACAAGGAGCUUCUUGGUUAACCGGCAAGGAGAAAUGUCCUUUAUCGAAAAAAAACCGGCAAGGAGAAUCCAGGAUCUCAACUCUGCACCUUAAGAUCUAUCUGAUCAACAAUUUCUUGUGCAAAGUUGGCCCACUAGUAGGCGACGCAAUCGAGAGUGGUUUGGUGAAAGAUUUGGGUCUCUCCAUUCUUGGUAAGACAGAUCUUUCGCACUGUACUAAGGAGGAUAUGCUACACCGAGCCCAAGCAAUAGAUGGUUUUUUCAGUGCCUACCCAAGUGUGCUCAGUUGCCUCAAAAGACUUUAUCUACACAGUGUAGGCUUUGACAACUUGGACAUGCACCAUGUCGUGUUUGACUGCUGCAAGCAACUGAAGCAUCUAACCCUUGAUAAUUGUGAUACUAUUGCCAGCUCUCUGUUUAAGACUGAUGCACCCAAUUCAAAACUCCGUUUUCUAGAAAUCAUCUGUUGUGGUUUUGAGAGACUUGAAUUGGUCUGCCUUCCGAAACUGGAGACGCUCGAAUGUGAGACUUGGACAUCGGUGCAUGCCCCUUUGGCCUUUGGUUUCGUCCCAUCUCUUGGAGAACUAGGACUCUUAGAUGGUGCACAACAUUGCCAACAUGAAUUUAAAUUAAGUGAGCUUCUACAUGGAACCACAAGCAUACACACUCUCACAUUGGAUUUCCAAGGAGAAAAUAUUUGGAUGCAACAUGAAAUGAAGCAACUCAUCCCCGCAUUCAGUAAGCUAAGGAAGCUGUGUCUGUGCGUGGUAUCUUUGUUGAAUUCGACCUUUUAUGGACGGCAACAUUUCUUUUGGCGGCACAAUGCAUGGAAAUAUUACAUAUCGAGGUGAUGUCUCAACAUUUAGGGCUUAUUGUAGUUCUUCAUAUAUUUUGGAGCAAAGAUGUUUAAAACUUACAUAUGUAUUGAAUUGGUCGCACAAACACAGGUAUGGGAACAUAUAUGUGAUGACAAGUCGAGACAGUUGUAUGCCGAAAGAAGGACUCCUCCGUGGGAGAUGCACUUUGAUGGCUCCAAGAACUGGCAUUUGAAAGAGCUAGAAUUCACUGGCUUUAGAUCACUAGAACAACAAUUUAAGUUUAUAAGGCUCGUGCUGGAGCGAGCUCCGAAUUUGCAGACGAUAAUUCUGAAAGGAGAUGAGCGAUGUGAGUACUACGAUGCUCUUGAUACACCACAUACUUCGAAAUUUCCGAAGAAGAAGGAUGAGCAAGAACUGGCGGUUAGACGAAUUCGAGGUGACUUUUUCUCGCCACGAAUAAUUUUCAACGAAUAAGGAGUUGUAAGAAACUAGUCAGAGAGGGCAUAUCUCAGUCGAUAUAAUAUUUGAUAUUUAUAACUAUUAAGAAGCA
Molecule: non-coding RNA, 1767 nt
Organism: Aegilops tauschii subsp. strangulata
Lineage: Eukaryota; Viridiplantae; Streptophyta; Magnoliopsida; Poales; Poaceae
Source: RefSeq, a predicted model, not a curated record